GAGGACUUCUCAUAAACAGUUUCAAAAUACAAAUGCUCUGUUCAAAGCUAAGCAAAGCCAGAUUGACUUUAAAGUCAGAAAGUUCUGUUGCCCCCAGUUUUGUGUGUAGGGCACGCUUUGUGUGCUGGAGGUCAAGUUUUACCAGUGAUAAGGGGGACUUGACAAGGAAGAUCUCAAAGCAGGAAAGCAGAGCAUGGGUGCCCUAGAGGUCAUCAGUGGAGAGAUGGCCUUGAGAGGUCUUUAUCUAAGUGGACUUGCCACCAGGAGUCAAGCGGGAGCAAAUACACACUGCGUCUGCCAAAGGUCACGCACCUAUCGGGGCAGCUGACAAAACCAGGAUGGCUUCUAACUAUGGGAGUAAGCUGUCCUGCAAUGUAGGGAGGCAGUGCACUCUCUGUGGAAAAGGAUCUUGGUUUCCUGUUCAUGAGUGGGGCUAAGAGAAGUCACUCUAGCCUUCAACUGCAUCUGGAGGAUUCUUUACCACUAGUCCCAGCUGGGAAGGAUUCUUCACCACUGAGC
Molecule: long non-coding RNA, 519 nt
Organism: Bos taurus (domestic cattle)
Lineage: Eukaryota; Metazoa; Chordata; Mammalia; Artiodactyla; Bovidae
Source: Ensembl